Molecule: ribosomal RNA, 1596 nt
Filed under: Campylobacter jejuni
Lineage: Bacteria; Pseudomonadati; Campylobacterota; Epsilonproteobacteria; Campylobacterales; Campylobacteraceae
Description: partial 23S ribosomal RNA
Rfam family: Bacterial large subunit ribosomal RNA
Source: RNAcentral
AAGGUUUCCUACGCGAUGCUCGUCAUCGUAGGGUUAGUCGGGUCCUAAGUCGAGUCCGAAAGGGGUAGACGAUGGCAAAUUGGUUAAUAUUCCAAUACCAACAUUAGUGUGCGAUGGAAGGACGCUUAGGGCUAAGGGGGCUAGCGGAUGGAAGUGCUAGUCUAAGGUCGUAGGAGGUUAUACAGGCAAAUCCGUAUAACAAUACUCCGAGAACUGAAAGGCUUUUUGAAGUCUUCGGAUGGAUAGAAGAACCCCUGAUGCCGUCGAGCCAAGAAAAGUUUCUAAGUUUAGCUAAUGUUGCCCGUACCGUAAACCGACACAGGUGGGUGGGAUGAGUAUUCUAAGGCGCGUGGAAGAACUCUCUUUAAGGAACUCUGCAAAAUAGCACCGUAUCUUCGGUAUAAGGUGUGGUUAGCUUUGUAUUAGGAUUUACUCCGAAAGCAAGGAAACUUACAACAAAGAGUCCCUCCCGACUGUUUACCAAAAACACAGCACUCUGCUAACUCGUAAGAGGAUGUAUAGGGUGUGACGCCUGCCCGGUGCUCGAAGGUUAAUUGAUGGGGUUAGCAUUAGCGAAGCUCUUGAUCGAAGCCCGAGUAAACGGCGGCCGUAACUAUAACGGUCCUAAGGUAGCGAAAUUCCUUGUCGGUUAAAUACCGACCUGCAUGAAUGGCGUAACGAGAUGGGAGCUGUCUCAAAGAGGGAUCCAGUGAAAUUGUAGUGGAGGUGAAAAUUCCUCCUACCCGCGGCAAGACGGAAAGACCCCGUGGACCUUUACUACAGCUUGACACUGCUACUUGGAUAAGAAUGUGCAGGAUAGGUGGGAGGCUUUGAGUAUAUGACGCCAGUUGUAUAUGAGCCAUUGUUGAGAUACCACUCUUUCUUAUUUGGGUAGCUAACCAGCUUGAGUUAUCCUCAAGUGGGACAAUGUCUGGUGGGUAGUUUGACUGGGGCGGUCGCCUCCCAAAUAAUAACGGAGGCUUACAAAGGUUGGCUCAGAACGGUUGGAAAUCGUUCGUAGAGUAUAAAGGUAUAAGCCAGCUUAACUGCAAGACAUACAAGUCAAGCAGAGACGAAAGUCGGUCUUAGUGAUCCGGUGGUUCUGUGUGGAAGGGCCAUCGCUCAAAGGAUAAAAGGUACCCCGGGGAUAACAGGCUGAUCUCCCCCAAGAGCUCACAUCGACGGGGAGGUUUGGCACCUCGAUGUCGGCUCAUCGCAUCCUGGGGCUGGAGCAGGUCCCAAGGGUAUGGCUGUUCGCCAUUUAAAGCGGUACGCGAGCUGGGUUCAGAACGUCGUGAGACAGUUCGGUCCCUAUCUGCCGUGGGCGUAAGAAGAUUGAAGAGAUUUGACCCUAGUACGAGAGGACCGGGUUGAACAAACCACUGGUGUAGCUGUUGUUCUGCCAAGAGCAUCGCAGCGUAGCUAAGUUUGGAAAGGAUAAACGCUGAAAGCAUCUAAGCGUGAAGCCAACUCUAAGAUGAAUCUUCUCUAAGCUCUCUAGAAGACUACUAGUUUGAUAGGCUGGGUGUGUAAUGGAUGAAAGUCCUUUAGCUGACCAGUACUAAUAGAGCGUUUGGCUUAUCUUUAAUAAAGCAU